CCUAGUUGGGGAGCUUCCUUGCGCUCCAAGUCUGAAAGGAGGCAGAUGGGCAGACCUUAGCUGCUAGUUCAUGGAUACCUAUGGCUUUUCGCAGAUGGGGCAAAGCGAAGGUCAAGGGUUUGCAUGAAAUGGGAGAUAGGGUUGCCUUCAUCCUUUUUGUCAUUGGAGUGAAGGGAGCUCCGCAACAGGGAUCUUUUCAAUAAAUGUCAAGGACAAUUAGCCUCUUUCAUUAGAUUUAACCCCUGUUAGUCCAUCAAGCUCCAUCUUGUCGGCUCCAUUGUGAGCAAAUGUAUGUAAUUUUAGUUUGAUUAGACAAAACUGACCCCUUCAUUCGGCUUUUUCCAGGGCAUAAGGAAUUGAUAGUAUUAUGAUGGUAUUCUAAUAAGGAGAUUGUGGGCGCGCCAAAUGUGACAAUCUGGAAUUCUCAUUAAUCAAUCAUAGAUGAAAAGCAGAAUUUAGUAUAGAAGGAGGGAUUAAUUGCUAUGUGAAAUUGUCCCUUUUUAUUACAUUUGUAUCACAUUCUUGCCAAAAUAAUGACAGAUGAUGUUGAUGAUAUUAGAGUUCUUUGUACAUUUUCCUUGAUGUUCCUAUUCUCUUUGCUUCCACAAAAUGUAAUAAAUAAAAGGGAAGACAUGAAUUCUGAUAUCCUAA
Long non-coding RNA from Prosopis cineraria, 651 nucleotides. RefSeq lists it as uncharacterized. The transcript is spliced from 2 exons. NCBI's taxonomy places the organism in Eukaryota, Viridiplantae, Streptophyta, Magnoliopsida, Fabales, Fabaceae. The record is from RefSeq and is a predicted model, not a curated record.